UCAGGGAACUUCAGUAAUUCUUCUACAAUGUGAGGUCCCGGGUGGUAUUUUUCAUCUUUGAACUUCAUUCCAAGGAAGUCGAUAUCAGUUUGCGCCAAUGAGUUCUUCUUUUCUGAUAGCAUAAUCCCAUAGGAAUCUACUAGUUGUUGGAAAGUAGAGAGGAGUUCCUUAUGGGCCGUGACAUCUUUGGAGAAGAGGAGAAUGUCAUCUAUAUAGGUGAGAGCACUGUGGAGUAUGGGCUCAAAUAUCUUUGUCAUGGCCUUCUGGAAAACAGAUGGGGCUG
RNAcentral lists this unclassified non-coding RNA (283 nucleotides) under Hevea brasiliensis (rubber tree). Lineage: Eukaryota; Viridiplantae; Streptophyta; Magnoliopsida; Malpighiales; Euphorbiaceae. The record is from RNAcentral.